RNAcentral lists this transfer RNA (55 nucleotides) under Schistocephalus solidus. It matches the Rfam family "tRNA", at positions 8 to 63 of the family's 71-position model. From Rfam's summary of the family: Transfer RNA (tRNA) molecules are approximately 80 nucleotides in length. Their secondary structure includes four short double-helical elements and three loops (D, anti-codon, and T loops). Further hydrogen bonds mediate the characteristic L-shaped molecular structure. tRNAs have two regions of fundamental functional importance: the anti-codon, which is responsible for specific mRNA codon recognition, and the 3' end, to which the tRNAs corresponding amino acid is attached (by aminoacyl-tRNA synthetases). tRNAs cope with the degeneracy of the genetic code in two manners: having more than one tRNA (with a specific anti-codon) for a particular amino acid; and 'wobble' base-pairing, i.e. permitting non-standard base-pairing at the 3rd anti-codon position. Lineage: Eukaryota; Metazoa; Platyhelminthes; Cestoda; Diphyllobothriidea; Diphyllobothriidae. The record is from Rfam by way of RNAcentral.
UGGCUCAAUGGUUAGAGCGUUUUACUUCUAAAAAAAGGUUCGGGGUUUGACCCCG